RNAcentral lists this ribosomal RNA (429 nucleotides) under Chloroflexota bacterium. RNAcentral describes it as "Chloroflexi bacterium partial 16S ribosomal RNA". It matches the Rfam family "Bacterial small subunit ribosomal RNA", at positions 355 to 776 of the family's 1533-position model. Lineage: Bacteria; Bacillati; Chloroflexota. The record is from RNAcentral.
UGGGGAAUAUUGCACAAUGGGCGCAAGCCUGAUGCAGCCAUGCCGCGUGUGUGAAGAAGGCCUUCGGGUUGUAAAGCACUUUCAGCGGGGAGGAAGGCGAUAAGGUUAAUAACCUUGUCGAUUGACGUUACCCGCAGAAGAAGCACCGGCUAACUCCGUGCCAGCAGCCGCGGUAAUACGGAGGGUGCAAGCGUUAAUCGGAAUUACUGGGCGUAAAGCGCACGCAGGCGGUCUGUCAAGUCGGAUGUGAAAUCCCCGGGCUUAACCUGGGAACUGCAUUAGAAACUGGCAGGCUAGAGUCUUGUAGAGGGGGGUAGAAUUCCAAGUGUAGCGGUGAAAUGCGUAGAGAUCUGGAGGAAUACCGGUGGCGAAGGCGGCCCCCUGGACAAAGACUGACGCUCAGGUGCGAAAGCGUGGGGAGCAAACAGG